Molecule: long non-coding RNA, 391 nt
Organism: Hippocampus zosterae (dwarf seahorse)
Lineage: Eukaryota; Metazoa; Chordata; Actinopteri; Syngnathiformes; Syngnathidae
Exons: 3
Source: RefSeq, a predicted model, not a curated record
GGAGCAGAGACGCAAAUCAUCCGCCGUGUGGGACCAUUUUGAUGUCCUGGAGAAUAAGGUGAAAUGUCGAAUUUGCCAAGUCGAAUUGUCAUACACCAACAGAAGCACCUCCACCAUGCUGAGGCAUUAUCGGGCCAAGCAUGAGAAUGAAGUUCGCGAUACACCCAGUAUUACGCCAGGUUCCAGGAAGCAGCUGUACUGGAAGGACCAACACACUUCUUUCCCAAACCUCUCCCACCUCGCAAAGGAGUUCCUUUGUACGCCAGCCUCAUCCGUCCCUUGUGAGCGUGUGUUCUCCACAGCAGGAGAAAUUGCUUGUAAAAGACGCAACAGGCUGAAGUUUAAAACAUUGGAACAUCUUAUUUUUCUCAAUAAAAAUUUGUGAAGUCAA